Molecule: ribosomal RNA, 3053 nt
Filed under: Triticum aestivum (bread wheat)
Lineage: Eukaryota; Viridiplantae; Streptophyta; Magnoliopsida; Poales; Poaceae
Description: partial small subunit ribosomal RNA
Source: RNAcentral
CUUCCCACUGCCCCUCACAUCUCCCCGCCGUUCCCCAUUCUCCCAUGGUUGCCCCUGCUCUUCAUCCCCUUCAUGGUCGAAUCCGGUCGCGGGAGCAUCCGUCGGAGGCGGACGCGGAGGCGCGGGACUCGCAAGCCCAUGCUCUUCCCUGCUCCUUCCUCGAAUCCGGUCGCCGAAGUGACCGAGGAGGUGCUCGAGCUCGGUACGCUCGCCGGGGACGCCAUCCCUCCCUCUCCUCCUGAUGUCGUCGCCGUCGCUGCAAUGAGUCUCUCCACCAUCUCCCGCGUGCUCGCUUGCUCGUCCCAGUACAGAUUAGUCUCCCUCUCCGACCCCGCCGCCUGCUCUUCGCCUCUUCCCCGUCAAUUUGGUUCAUCGGCAGGUGCAUCACCUCACUGUGUGCAAUAUUCAGUCCCCUAGGAUUAUCUGCUCGGGGGCCAUGGCAUGUCCGCCGCCGUCGCUGCUUCAUGGCUGUGAGGUCGCCGGGAUGUGUUUCGUGUGCUGAUACCUGAUGUCUGCUCUGGGGAGCCGGGCUUCGUCUGCCAAUGUGGCCGGCAAGGUCCGAGACUAGAGAUCCCUGCUCGCCAACUCGCAGUCCCGGCGGCUGUUCUCCUACCAGUCGAAAAAGAUUAAGCUUUCUUCCUGGUUUUGGGUUUCCUUUGAUCCGCUUUAGUUGGUGGCUUUGUUGACAUUUCGCCCUUAAUGUUUCAGAUUUCUUCAAGGAGAAGAAGGAGGUCCCGAAAGGGGAUGGGAGCAACAAGUCUGAAUCGAAGGGAUAAGGAAAAUUUGUUUAAUCUCGCGGCUGCGCUUGGCUGUGAUCGCCUUGUCCUCACCGGCAUCGCGGCCGCAUGCCACGUGGACUAUGACUCCGCUGCCAGCAGCGAUUGGUCCUUCGCGUGCCUCUACCUCGUCGUGGCCGAGUCCUCCUCUCCCCAAAUCGACAUCCACCCCUUUGUCAAGCCUGGACAUGAGCAGGAUGGUGUACACGAGCUUCACAGACAUGUGGCCGUGGAGGCUCCGGAUGAGGCCGACGCUGAUGACGACUCGAACAGUUCGUAGAGCCGUACCAGGUAUAGCUACUCUUCCUCUACUCUUACUCGUCAAUCAAUAGCAGGCCAUUCUGUGUGUGGAGGAUGCAGCUCACACGGGUUUGUGGAGGUGAUGGCUCCAGUAUUUACCAAGGAUGUUUGUAGAUGUGUUGGCAUAUGAUCCAGUGCAUAAAUUGAUUGCUUUAGCUGAUCGAAUUAUUUGCAUCUGACGUGUAGCACACAUAUAUAAGGCAGAACAAGUUGUUCCACUCAUGGGUUAUGACUAAAAUAUUUUGGGAAAGUGUUGAUCUUCUGAAGAAGAUUGCUUGGUAUGGAGGAUUAGCUAAUUACAAAUAGGAUAAUCCAGCCUCAUGUUAGGCCACCUCCACCAUGGACACAACACCUCACGUUCGUUGUUUAAACAAAUUCAUCAUGCUUCAUCCUUUCUAGCUUUUCAUGUUGCCCAUUAAAAAGGUAAAUUAUAGAAAUUAAGACACUUGAAGAGCCUGGAAACAACCUUGGUUUGCAAUGUCUUUCAUCCUUUCUAGCUUUUUAUGUUGCCCAUUAAAAAGAAUAACCUCCAUGGAAUAUGAACACCCGGAUCCAAUUUUUUGCUAUUGAUCAAUCAUCUAAUUAGUAAUACAUGUAACUUAUUUUGACCCAAACCCUUUGUCACCCUCUGCGUGAACUUCUUAAUUACCAGAAUGGUUAUUCACAUAAAUCUCAACAAUUGGUCCGACUUGUCGUCUAGCAGCAAUGCAACAUGAAACCUCUGAUAGUCCUUUCUGCGGGGAGGAUAGUCCAGUAUUCCUUGAACAAAUCAUACGUGGUACAUUUGAUGGUCCUUAUGCUCAUAUUGGUGUUGCCUUGGAAAUUAGCAUCCAGUGCACCAAUUUAGUGGAUCCGUUAGUCUGUGGAGCGAUUCAGUUUGGCUAUCUAGAAGAUGAUAUAGAAACAAAGUAUCAAAAGCCAAUCCAUCAAAUAAUUAAUUUUAAAACCUCCACAAUCUGCAAAAUGGACAAAAGUAUGAAAAUACCAAUGAAAUAUUAUCUAACUACUAAAAAUUAUCUAUCAAAAGAAAUAUUAACUAUCUUAGAAUCUUUCAGUUAUAAUGUGCGUACAACAAUUGCUAUUAGAAAACAUCCUACAACAUUACUGAUAUUAUUAUUUCAGAAUGCCCUAAGACAGUCCGUAACUCAUUAUGAAGAUUAUCGCUAAACAUUACUGAUAUGAUUAUGUCACUUUUAUAUACUAAAAGAUAGUUUCAAGAAAUCAGAAGAUGUUUUUUCCUUGAACAAUCUUGGUAAGACAAGACAUCUUUUGGCAUGGUACUUUUAUUUACUAAAUACAUAAAAUACUCCGGUACUUUUGUCGGUUUCAUUUGGAUAUUACCUAAAAGAAUGCACAUAUUUAACAUAUAUGACCUCACAUUUGUGCAAAAUCAUUCAACAAAAUGGUGUUUGAAGGAAGCAAGAACAUCUGAUCACAAUCAUGCCUAAGACAAAGAGCUAGACAAACAUUUUCUUUCUUUCUUUGGCCUUUCAUUUACCAUAGAGCAAAAGCACAACCAGAUGCCAAGAACGUACCCAGUACAGAAUGUGAUACAUGUGCAUCCAUUGCAGGAGUUAGUAGCACCAUGCCACACCGAACAAGCCUUAAAACCCAGAGUAACCGUCAGAAUUUGGAAAACAACUACCUACGUCCCUUGCCUAUAUGGUACACCAAGGACUUAAUCCGUCAAGCCUGCAGAAACAAAACCAAGACCGGAAUAACAACAUCAGUCCAGCUUAUCCGCUGGAACAUGGUUUCCUUCAACUAUUACUUGCAAUUAUGAUAUCCUGUAAGGAUACAAAACAUCUUAAUAAGAUUGAUAGAACACAGAGAUAUGAAUUAUACAUAUCCAGAACAUGUACCCUAUCGUUUGGAAUUGUGAGUGUACCACAAACUGCAGCGUUCGGCGGCAAGGGAUAUGUUCGUCAUGGAACGGCGGGAUCUAGGAAGAUGGAGGCCCUGGGGAUGGAGCGGUGA